CAAUAGCGUAUAUUAAAGUUGUUGCAGUUAGAACGCUCGUAGUCGGAUUUCGGGGCGGGCCGACCGGUCUGCCGAUGGGUACGCACUGGUCGGCGCGUCCUUCCUUCCGGAGGCCGUGCCUACUCUUAACUGAGCGGGGGCGGGAGACGGAUCGUUUACUUUGAAAAAAUCAGAGUGUUUCAAGCAGGCAGCUCGCUCUUGCAUGGAUUAGCAUGGGAUAAUGAAAUAGGACUUUGGUGCUAUUUUGUUGGUUUCGAACACCGAAGUAAUGAUUAAAAGGGACAGUCAGGGGCACUCGUAUUCCGCCGAGAGAGGUGAAAUUCUCAGACCAGCGGAAGACGAACCACUGCGAAAGCAUUUGCCAGGGAUGUUUUCACUGA
Molecule: ribosomal RNA, 380 nt
Filed under: uncultured eukaryote
Lineage: Eukaryota
Description: partial 18S ribosomal RNA
Rfam family: Eukaryotic small subunit ribosomal RNA
Source: RNAcentral